GCGGGUGUAGCUCAGUUGGUAGAGCGUCAGCCUUCCAAGCUGAAUGUCGCCGGUUCGAGCCCGGUCGCCCGCUCCA
Molecule: transfer RNA, 76 nt
Filed under: Myxococcales bacterium
Lineage: Bacteria; Pseudomonadati; Myxococcota; Myxococcia; Myxococcales
Description: tRNA-Gly
Rfam family: tRNA
About the family: Transfer RNA (tRNA) molecules are approximately 80 nucleotides in length. Their secondary structure includes four short double-helical elements and three loops (D, anti-codon, and T loops).
Source: RNAcentral